UGUGAACUCGAAGAGUAGGGCGGGACACGUGGUAUCCUGUCUGAAUAUGGGGGGACCAUCCUCCAAGGCUAAAUACUCCUGACUGACCGAUAGUGAACCAGUACCGUGAGGGAAAGGCGAAAAGAACCCCGGCGAGGGGAGUGAAAAAGAACCUGAAACCGUGUACGUACAAGCAGUGGGAGCACCUUCGGGUGUGACUGCGUACCUUUUGUAUAAUGGGUCAGCGACUUAUAUUCUGUAGCAAGGUUAACCGUAUAGGGGAGCCGAAGGGAAACCGAGUCUUAACUGGGCGUUAAGUUGCAGGGUAUAGACCCGAAACCCGGUGAUCUAGCCAUGGGCAGGUUGAAGGUUGGGUAACACUAACUGGAGGACCGAACCGACUAAUGUUGAAAAAUUAGCGGAUGACCUGUGGCUGGGGGUGAAAGGCCAAUCAAACCGGGAGAUAGCUGGUUCUCCCCGAAAGCUAUUUAGGUAGCGCCUCGUGAACUCAUCUUCGGGGGUAGAGCACUGUUUCGGCUAGGGGGCCAUCCCGGCUUACCAACCCGAUGCAAACUACGAAUACCGAAGAAUGUUAUCACGGGAGACACACGGCGGGUGCUAACGUCCGUCGUGAAGAGGGAAACAACCCAGACCGCCAGCUAAGGUCCCAAAGUCAUGGUUAAGUGGGAAACGAUGUGGGAAGGCACAGACAGCCAGGAUGUUGGCUUAGAAGCAGCCAUCAUUUAAAGAAAGCGUAAUAGCUCACUGGUCGAGUCGGCCUGCGCGGAAGAUGUAACGGGGCUAAACCAUGCACCGAAGCUGCGGCAGCGACGCUUAUGCGUUGUUGGGUAGGGGAGCGUUCUGUAAGCCGUUGAAGGUGUGCUGUGAGGCAUGCUGGAGGUAUCAGAAGUGCGAAUGCUGACAUAAGUAACGAUAAAGCGGGUGAAAAGCCCGCUCGCCGGAAGACCAAGGGUUCCUGUCCAACGUUAAUCGGGGCAGGGUGAGUCGACCCCUAAGGCGAGGCCGAAAGGCGUAGUCGAUGGGAAACAGGUUAAUAUUCCUGUACUUGGUGUUACUGCGAAGGGGGGACGGAGAAGGCUAUGUCAGCCGGGCGACGGUUGUCCCGGUUUAAGCAUGUAGGCGGAGGUUCCAGGUAAAUCCGGUACCUUGUUAACGCUGAGGUGUGAUGACGAGGCACUACGGUGCUGAAGUGAUAAAUGCCCUGCUUCCAGGAAAAGCCUCUAAGCAUCAGGUAACACGAAAUCGUACCCCAAACCGACACAGGUGGUCAGGUAGAGAAUACCAAGGCGCUUGAGAGAACUCGGGUGAAGGAACUAGGCAAAAUGGUGCCGUAACUUCGGGAGAAGGCACGCUGAUAUGUAGGUGAAGUCCCUGCGGACGGAGCUGAAAUCAGUCGAAGAUACCAGCUGGCUGCAACUGUUUAUUAAAAACACAGCACUGUGCAAACACGAAAGUGGACGUAUACGGUGUGACGCCUGCCCGGUGCCGGAAGGUUAAUUGAUGGGGUUAGCGGCAACGCGAAGCUCUUGAUCGAAGCCCCGGUAAACGGCGGCCGUAACUAUAACGGUCCUAAGGUAGCGAAAUUCCUUGUCGGGUAAGUUCCGACCUGCACGAAUGGCGUAAUGAUGGCCAGGCUGUCUCCACCCGAGACUCAGUGAAAUUGAACUCGCUGUGAAGAUGCAGUGUACCCGCGGCAAGACGGAAAGACCCCGUGAACCUUUACUAUAGCUUGACACUGAACACUGGUCCUUGAUGUGUAGGAUAGGUGGGAGGCUUUGAAGCGUGGACGCCAGUCUGCGUGGAGCCAUCCUUGAAAUACCACCCUUUAAUGGCUGGUGUUCUAACGUAGACCCGUAAUCCGGGUUGCGGACAGUGUCUGGUGGGUAGUUUGACUGGGGCGGUCUCCUCCCAAAGAGUAACGGAGGAGCACGAAGGUUGGCUAAUCCUGGUCGGACAUCAGGAGGUUAGUGCAAUGGCAUAAGCCAGCUUGACUGCGAGCGUGACGGCGCGAGCAGGUGCGAAAGCAGGUCAUAGUGAUCCGGUGGUUCUGAAUGGAAGGGCCAUCGCUCAACGGAUAAAAGGUACUCCGGGGAUAACAGGCUGAUACCGCCCAAGAGUUCAUAUCGACGGCGGUGUUUGGCACCUCGAUGUCGGCUCAUCACAUCCUGGGGCUGAAGUAGGUCCCAAGGGUAUGGCUGUUCGCCAUUUAAAGUGGUACGCGAGCUGGGUUUAGAACGUCGUGAGACAGUUCGGUCCCUAUCUGCCGUGGGCGCUGGAGAAUUGAGGGGGGCUGCUCCUAGUACGAGAGGACCGGAGUGGACGCAUCACUGGUGUUCGGGUUGUCAUGCCAAUGGCACUGCCCGGUAGCUAAAUGCGGAAGAGAUAAGUGCUGAAAGCAUCUAAGCACGAAACUUGCCCCGAGAUGAGUUCUCCCUGAGACCUUGAGUCUCCUGAAGGAACGUUGAAGACGACGACGUUGAUAGGUCGGGUGUGUAAGCGCAGCGAUGCGUUGAGCUAACCGAUACUAAUGAACCGUGAGGCUUAACCUU
This 2549-nucleotide ribosomal RNA is filed under the name Enterobacter hormaechei. RNAcentral describes it as "partial 23S ribosomal RNA". It matches the Rfam family "Bacterial large subunit ribosomal RNA", at positions 398 to 2925 of the family's 2925-position model. Lineage: Bacteria; Pseudomonadati; Pseudomonadota; Gammaproteobacteria; Enterobacterales; Enterobacteriaceae. The record is from RNAcentral.